This 449-nucleotide ribosomal RNA is filed under the name Gemella morbillorum. Its description in RNAcentral is "bacterial SSU rRNA". It matches the Rfam family "Bacterial small subunit ribosomal RNA", at positions 28 to 462 of the family's 1533-position model. The record is from RNAcentral. Lineage: Bacteria; Bacillati; Bacillota; Bacilli; Caryophanales; Gemellaceae.
GACGAACGCUGGCGGCGUGCCUAAUACAUGCAAGUCGAGCGAAGUUUUUCUGGUGCUUGCACUAGAAAAACUUAGCGGCGAACGGGUGAGUAACACGUAAAGAACCUGCCUCAUAGACUGGGACAACUAUUGGAAACGAUAGCUAAUACCGGAUAACAGUAUUUCUCGCAUGAGAGAUAUUUAAAAGUUGGUUAUGCUAACACUAUGAGAUGGCUUUGCGGUGCAUUAGCUAGUUGGUGGGGUAAAGGCCCACCAAGGCGACGAUGCAUAGCCGACCUGAGAGGGUGAUCGGCCACACUGGGACUGAGACACGGCCCAGACUCCUACGGGAGGCAGCAGUAGGGAAUCUUCCGCAAUGGGCGAAAGCCUGACGGAGCAACGCCGCGUGAGUGAAGAAAGGAUUUCGGUUCGUAAAAGCUCUGUUGUUAAGGGAAAGAAAUGGAAUAAUG